AUUGAACGCUGGCGGCAGGCCUAACACAUGCAAGUCGAGCGGAUGAAGGGAGCUUGCUCCUGGAUUCAGCGGCGGACGGGUGAGUAAUGCCUAGGAAUCUGCCUGGUAGUGGGGGAUAACGUCCGGAAACGGGCGCUAAUACCGCAUACGUCCUGAGGGAGAAAGUGGGGGAUCUUCGGACCUCACGCUAUCAGAUGAGCCUAGGUCGGAUUAGCUAGUUGGUGGGGUAAAGGCCUACCAAGGCGACGAUCCGUAACUGGUCUGAGAGGAUGAUCAGUCACACUGGAACUGGAACACGGUCCAGACUCCUACGGGAGGCAGCAGUGGGGAAUAUUGGACAAAGGGCGAAAGCCUGAUCCAGCCAUGCCGCGUGUGUGAAGAAGGUCUUCGGAUUGUAAAGCACUUUAAGUUGGGAGGAAGGGCAGUAAGUUAAUACCUUGCUGUUUUGACGUUACCAACAGAAUAAGCACCGGCUAACUACGUG
Molecule: ribosomal RNA, 484 nt
Filed under: uncultured bacterium
Lineage: Bacteria
Description: partial 16S ribosomal RNA
Rfam family: Bacterial small subunit ribosomal RNA
Source: RNAcentral